Non-coding RNA from Pelobates cultripes (western spadefoot toad), 598 nucleotides. The record is from the annotation of a GenBank genome assembly. NCBI's taxonomy places the organism in Eukaryota, Metazoa, Chordata, Amphibia, Anura, Pelobatidae.
AAGAGGUUUUAACCACACACACACUCUCACGAACAGACGCAUGCACACUAGCUAACAGACACACACAUUUACUGACAGACACACACUCAGUGACAAAACAUACACUCUCACUGACAAACACACACUCACUAACAGACACACACAAACUAACACACUCAGUAACAGACACACUCACUGACACACAAACUAACACACACACACACUGACACUCAAUAAACAGGCACAAACUAACACACUCAGUGACACACACACAGUAACACUCACUAAUACACUUACUGACACUCACUAGCAGACACACACACUAACAGACACACACACACACACACACAGUAACACACUCACUGACACACAAACACACUCAUUAACAGACACACACACAAUAACACACUCACUGACACACACAAACUAACACACUCAUUAACAGACACACACACAGUAACACACUCACUGACACACACACACUAACACACAUACACACAUUUUUUUUUAUUUAAUCCCCCAGCCUCCCUAUCUUUGGGAGUGCUGAGGGGAUUCCCUGGGGUCCAGUGGUGCUGCUGGGCGGCCAGUCCUCAGGUGGUGAGGGAGCACUCUCCUCUGA